Pangasianodon hypophthalmus (striped catfish) is the source of this 978-nucleotide long non-coding RNA. RefSeq lists it as uncharacterized. The transcript is spliced from 3 exons. Lineage: Eukaryota; Metazoa; Chordata; Actinopteri; Siluriformes; Pangasiidae. The record is from RefSeq and is a predicted model, not a curated record.
AGGUGUCACUAAUCAGGCUCAGUGGAAACAGAACCUAUAAAGAAGGAGACUCGUUAAAUCUGACAUGUGAUGUGAACUGCACACACAGUUCCUCACAGUUUGUGUGGUCUAAGAACAACGAGCAGUUAAACACAUCAGGACCUGUUCUUCACUUUCCUGCUCUAACCGUGAGGGAUUCUGGGAAUUACACCUGCACUUGGAAAACCAACGAGGCGUCAGGAUCUGAAACGAUCAGCCUUCAGGUCGAGGGUGAAAAUCCUGAAAAUCCUGAUCACUGGCCAAUCUGGAUCAUUGUUGUGUUGACAGCCGGACUGAUUUUCAUCAUUGUAGCUAUCCCAGCUGUGAUUUACAACAGGAGGUUUUUGUGUGAGCGCAGGAGUGUCGACACUGAGCAGCAGAAGGAGGGCGAUUCUGAUAUCGACAUUGAUGUCCAGCAGAAUGAAGACGAUUCUGAUAUCUACGCUAAUGUCCAGCAGAAGGAGGACGAUUCUGAUAUCUAUGCUAACGUCUAAUAGCAAUGAGCUGAUCACAGUUUCACACCUCAUGCUCAACAUAGUCUUCUUCUUGUGAAUUUCCUGUGUGAGAUGAAAAAGUUACACACCCCUUACAUUUCCUUUGUGUUGCAUUUGAGCUUAAUUUCAAGAUAGACAACUUAACCAUUUAUUACAUUUAUUGGAAUUUCAGUCAUGGAGCAAUUUUUGAAGUUGGUUUAGAAACGAUUCUUAAUUUCUAUUUAUUUAUUACUUUUGCUGUAUAAUUACAACUGAUACACAAAUGAAACCUACACAACCUGUAACAGAAACCAACACACACUUGUCUGUAUACACGGCAUAUUUAGUAAAUACUUCCAGUCUCUUUGUGUUAAACCACAUCUUUUACAGUUACUUCCUCUGCAGAAUGAUGGGGUUUUAUUUUUAAGGCCUCAGACUUGUUUCACAUUAAACUUCUAGAACAAUAAAAUUGUGUUUAUGUUCUAAA